AAUAUUGCACAAUGGGGGAAACCCUGCUGCAGAGACGCCGCGUGAGCGAAGAAGGCCCUCGGGUCGUAAAGCCCUGUCCUAAGGGAAGAAACGGACGGUACCUUGUGAGGAGGCCCCGGCUAACUAUGUCCCAGCCGCCGCGGUAAUACGUAGGGGGCUAGCGUUGUCCGGAUUUACUGGGUGUAAAGGGUGCGUAGGUGGCUAGACAAGUCAGAUGUGAAAGCCCAGAGCUCAACUCCGGAACUGCAUUUGAAACUGUAGAGCUAGAGUGCAGGAGAGGUAAGUGGAAUUCCUAGUGUAGCGGUGAAAUGCGUAGAUAUUAGAAAGAACACCAGUGGCGAAGGCGGCUUACUGGACUGUAACUGACACUGAGGCACGAAAGCGUGGGGAGCAAACAGG
RNAcentral lists this ribosomal RNA (399 nucleotides) under uncultured bacterium. RNAcentral's name for it is "partial 16S ribosomal RNA". It matches the Rfam family "Bacterial small subunit ribosomal RNA", at positions 360 to 776 of the family's 1533-position model. The record is from RNAcentral.